This 65-nucleotide transfer RNA is filed under the name Staphylinoidea sp. 15 KM-2017. RNAcentral's name for it is "tRNA-Arg". Lineage: Eukaryota; Metazoa; Arthropoda; Insecta; Coleoptera. The record is from RNAcentral.
AAAUAAGAAACAAAAAUUUUGUAAUUAGUUUCGACCUAAUCUUUGAUUUAAUUAAUCCUUAUUUA